GGUUGCGAUCGUACCAGCACUAAUGCACCGGAUCCCAUCAGAACUCCGCAGUUAAGCGUGCUUGGGCGAGAGUAGUACUAGGAUGGGUGACCCCCUGGGAAGUCCUCGUGUUGCAACCC
RNAcentral lists this ribosomal RNA (119 nucleotides) under Helianthus annuus (common sunflower). Lineage: Eukaryota; Viridiplantae; Streptophyta; Magnoliopsida; Asterales; Asteraceae. The record is from RNAcentral.